Molecule: ribosomal RNA, 327 nt
Filed under: uncultured eukaryote
Lineage: Eukaryota
Description: partial 18S ribosomal RNA
Rfam family: Eukaryotic small subunit ribosomal RNA
Source: RNAcentral
CCCUUAGAUGUUCGGGGCCGCACGCGCGCUACACUGAAGCAAUCAACGUGCCUGUCUCCUGGUCCGGAAGGAUCGGGCAACCCGCUGAACCUGCUUCGUGAUAGGGACUGGGGCUUGCAAUUGUUCCCCACGAACGAGGAAUUCCCAGUAGGCGCGAGUCAUGAGCUCGCGUCGAUUACGUCCCUGCCCUUUGUACACACCGCCCGUCGCACCUACCGAUUGAAUGGUCCGGUGAAGCCUCGGGAUUGUGGUUAGUUUCCUUCAUUGGAAGUUAGCCGCGAGAACUUGUCUAAACCUUAUCAUUUAGAGGAAGGUGAAGUCGUAACA